GUCCCCGGCGUCCGGGCGCCCUGCAUGGAUCCCCCACCCCAGCUCCUGCUCCCCGGCGGCGGCCGGUGGGCAGAAAGACCGAAACCCACUCACGGCCGCCUGCCGAAUCGCGGCUCUGCUGUUUGUGGGGCGUGCUAGAAACGUGGUCCUAAAAAGAAUGGCGUCCAUUUACAUAAUGCUUUGUUUGCGUUUCGCAAGUUUCUUUCGGUUAAAGCCACAGAAACCCCACCUCCUGCCCUUGUGUCGUUUCCACCGCGGCACCCUUUUCCGACAUUAGAAACAAUAGUGUACGCCUGUGGAGGCCUCGUUUGUUCAGGGGCUGCCGGCCAGGGCUUCAGGACGUUUCUGCGGCUUUCCCCGCGCGGCCUGGGCUCCCGCGGCUGCUUUUCGGGCCCAUGGGCGCAGCCACUGCGCCAGGCUCAAGGGGGGCGGCCCCGUCAGGGCCCGCCAUCUUGGAAGGCCUUUUUUGCCGGUUCUUCCCGCUGAGGAAGUGUCGCUCAAGACGCUGGCCUAUGAGUUGUGAUUUCUGCCUUUUCCCCUUCCUCCUUGGGCUAAGCCAGACCAGAAAGGGCCCCGUGCGCAACGUGCUUCACAAUCUCUCAGGGAAAGCGGCUAACGUGGCGCUACUCCGCCUCCCCUGUUCCUUACCCUUGGGGCGGCCGCCAUGUUUCCUGAACACAAAAUGGCGACACGUGGUUAGCAUUCGUCGCCAACGAGAAAUUGGGGUCGGCCCGAAAGCUCUAGAAUGCACCCCUCUUCCUCCCCGGGGCCUUCCACCUCCGCGAGUUUUAUGACUUAAAAAAGCCCACAGGCUGGUCUGAAGGUCGGAGGCCUAAUUUUAACGCGUUUUCCUCCCUUUAAUUUGAAACGGGAACGCGAAUGACUGUAAAAUGUGGGCACAAUAUUUAAUCUCUCGCCUUUUUAAAGCUUAAUAGUGGAUAAUAGGGGGGCAGUAUCAAGGGAUAAUUUGGGUCCCCACAGUACCAAAGCAUUUAGAAACCUCUGUUUAAUUUAAGGAAUGAGAUAAGUUACUGCUUUUCUAGACUUCCUAGCAUGGGCUGUUGUGCUGGAGAGAACGAGAGCUACGAAGAGACUACAGUGCCUCUGACUUUUUCAUAGGACAGUUGGCCGAGGAAGACAAACAUAAAGAUGAAGUGCUUAAUUCAAGGUCACACAAUGUCGGGGAUGGACCUCCAGAUUUCCUUACUGGAAAACAAGCUCAGGGCUCCCACUGAUUGUACAUUAUGGUGAGACGUGGUCUUGUAACACAGUGGUUAAGAAUGUGACUUUGGAGCCAGCCUGCUAGGGGCUGAAUUCUGACUCAGCCAUUUACUAACUGUGUGACCUUAGUCUGUCUAGUGACUGGUGUUGUCAUAAGAAGAGAGGGACACAGAGGGAAGAUGGCCACAUGAAGAUGGAGGCAGAGAUUGCAGUUAUGCUGCUGCAAACUAAGGAAUGGCUCUGGCCCUCCAAGGAUUGCUGAUAACCACCAGAAACUAGAAGAGACAAGGAAGGAUUCUUCCCUAGAGCCUUCAGAGGGAGCAUGGCCCUACUGACACCUGGAUUUCAAACUUGUAGCUUCCUAAACUGCAAGAGAAUAAAUUUCUGUUGUUUUAAGCCA
This 1621-nucleotide long non-coding RNA is filed under the name Homo sapiens (human). Its description in RNAcentral is "PCBP1 antisense RNA 1, transcript variant 54 (PCBP1-AS1)". The record is from RNAcentral. Lineage: Eukaryota; Metazoa; Chordata; Mammalia; Primates; Hominidae.